Molecule: ribosomal RNA, 671 nt
Filed under: uncultured bacterium
Lineage: Bacteria
Description: bacterial SSU rRNA
Rfam family: Bacterial small subunit ribosomal RNA
Source: RNAcentral
GCUAGCGGGAAGCCUUACACAUGCAAGUCGAACGGCAGCGCGAGGAAAGCUUGCUUUCCUUGGCGGCGAGUGGCGAACGGGUGAGUAAUGUAUCGGAACGUGCCCAGUAGCGGGGGAUAACCACUCGAAAGAGUGGCUAAUACCGCAUACGCCCUUCGGGGGAAAGGGGGGGAUUCUUUCGGGAACCUCUCACUAUUGGAGCGGCCGAUAUCGGAUUAGCUAGUUGGUGGGGUAAAGGCUCACCAAGGCCACGAUCCGUAGCUGGUUUGAGAGGACGGCCAGCCACACUGGGACUGAGACACGGCCCAGACUCCUACGGGAGGCAGCAGUGGGGAAUUUUGGACAAUGGGGGGAACCCUGAUCCAGCAAUCCCGCGUGUGCGAUGAAGGCCUUCGGGUUGUAAAGCACUUUUAGCAGGGAAGAAACAGCGCCGGUUAAUACCCGGCGUCACUGACGGUACCUGCAGAAUAAGCACCGGCUAACUACGUGCCAGCAGCCGCGGUAAUACGUAGGGUGCAAGCGUUAAUCGGAAUUACUGGGCGUAAAGGGUGCGCAGGCGGCCUGGCAGAAAGGUGUGAAAUCCCAGGGCUUAACCUUGGAAUGGCACUUUUAACUGCCAGCUAGAGUAUGUCAGAGGGGGGGUAGAAUUCCACCGUGUACAGUGAAAAUGC